RNAcentral lists this long non-coding RNA (4996 nucleotides) under Nicotiana tabacum (common tobacco). RNAcentral's name for it is "long non-coding RNA (NTAB_LNC000889)". Lineage: Eukaryota; Viridiplantae; Streptophyta; Magnoliopsida; Solanales; Solanaceae. The record is from RNAcentral.
AGGGACUCAUUAAGCUAGGUUGAAAUUGAGCAUAUUCUUCAUUUAUCGGCCUAUUGUAAUCUUUAUGUCUUACCUGGGUUAGACAAGUAACUCGAUUUCUACUAGAUUCAGUAAUAUAUGUGUAAUUAUCUAUUCACUGCACUCUAGCUCAGAUUUUAAUUAUUGAAAUAAAGUUAUCGGAAAAAAAAUUGUAAGAAUCCUUUUGAUAACCCAUUGUAGCUUUUAACUCAUGAACAUCUCAAGUAUCCUUAUGAUUUAUAGAGAAAAGUUAUCUGCAGUGCAACAACAAAAGUAAGAAAUUAGUGUGUAGAGCAUAUGAGAGGAAGUAGAUAAAAAUUAAGUGACAAAUGAGACAAUGUUAGCACCGGAUAUUUCAAACCCCUAAGUAGAUAUUUUUCCGCAAACAUAGAGCUAAAGCAACAACUUUUGCAGGGCUUUCGUUGCUUUGGUGCCUUGUUCCCUAUCACUGCCUUGCUAAUCUAGGUGAGACAUUAUAGGGCCUCAAUGAACACUUUCAGAAUUAUUGAGAUGUAUUUUUAUACUUUGCAUAGCUGAAUUAGUUUGUUAGCACUUACUUUGUUGCUUGCUUAGCUUUCACUUAGCCUGGGGAGGGUAGUGUGUAUGCAAACCUUACCCCUUCCCGAGGGGGUUGAGAGGUUGUGUCGGGUAAACUCUUGGCUCAAGAAGACGAAAAGAGAGAUAAUAUAUCAGUACUAUCAAUAGAAAACAAUAGAAAUAAUGACAGAAACAUAAGAAUAGAUGCAAAGCACUAACAAUAAUCAGUAGAUAAGGUCCGGCACAAAGAAAAACUGUAGAAUAGUGCGAAGACAACAUGAACCACUAGCAGUUUAAGACAAAAUCCUAUCAGACUAGCCUCACACCUCUACAAAGUAGAACAAUGCUAACUUGGGUAAAAUCAUGUUUUUGCUUCUGGAGCGUAUUUUGAUUUGGUAGGACAUACCUGGUUGCAUCUAGUGGACCAUUUGGAAGGAAAGAAAUCUAAGAAAGUUUGAAGGAAAGAGGGACUCACUCACUAUCUAGAUUGAAUUUAAACAUAUUCUUCUUUUAGCAUCCUAGUGCAAGAGGAAGUAGAAAAUUAAGUGACAAAUGAGACUAUGUUAGCACUUAGCACCGAAUAUAUCAGACCCCUAAGCAGACAUCUUUCUGCAAACAUAGAAUUAGAGCAACAACUUUUGCAGGACUUGUUACUUCAGUGACUUGUUUUCUAUUACUGCUUUACUAAUCUAGGUGAGACAUUAUAGGGCCUCAAUGAAUAGUUUCAGAUUAUUGAGAUAUAUUUAUAUACUUGUAUAGCUGAAUUAGUUGGUUAGUUCGUGGCUUAGCUGUCAAUUAGUUGAUAUUAGUCGGUUAGAUGGUUUCAGAUAUUUUGGUAUAGAUAUAUUGGUUUCAGAUAUUUUAUUUUUUCUUGAUACGUGACUCAAAUGGCCUGCUCUUUUGAGUGCAGCUAAUAUUGCAAACCCUUAUAACUUUAAAAUGAGUCGGUAAAUUAUUCGGGUAAGGAGGAAAGGGGGUCUAGUGCAUUUUUUCUGGAAAAAUGAAGAGCCUUUCACAUCCUUCUAAACUUAGAAAGAGUAAAGUAAUUAAAUAACCUUUUUAGAUUUCAUCUAGCACAGUCUAGUCGCAUGAGCAAAAUACAAAAAUAAUAAAGCAACAAGGAAAGUGACGGAAUAACUUCAAAAAGGGUGGAUAGUUAGUUUCAUAAAUCUAUUGAGGAAAGAGUUUCCCGAUUUAAAGACAAUCAAAGUGUCCAGUUCUAUUCACUGCUACUCGUGCUGCAGCAGAUUAAAAUUCAAGAUGAGUAACUGAAAUGUUGGACAGAGAAUGGAAGGGAACUAGUGAAUAUUUGUAGAAACUGAAGAAUAUGCUUCUUUGGGUUGAUUAAAAGUGGGAAUAGCUUGAAACUUGGUUAGAUGAGAUAAAUGUUUCAAAUUACUUCAACCGUACAUAGGUUUUGCUAUUUUAUUUGAGCAGUAACUUUUUCACUAGAUACGUAUUGAUACACGCACUUUCAAACAAAAUUAAAUUGGAGUCAAAUUGUUAAUGUCUUGGUGGAAGUUGCUUUGGGAUUGAAGCACGUGCACAAUUGCAGUCCUCCAUUGAUCUUCAACGACUUAAACCCAUCCAACAUACUUUUGGAUGAGGUAAUUACUUUAUUAAAUUUAUUAAGAUAUGUCAAAACUUUAAUAUCUUAUUCAUUAAAAUACAAAUGUAGGAAUUAAAUGUAGUUUUGUGCGAUUUUGGGGCGCCGUCACCAACAACAAGGGAGAAAAAAAUUUGGUACCCCUAGAUAUAUUGACCUUGCCCAUCUGUAUCAAAUGAAUCGUAAGCUCAAGGAUGAUUACCGAUCUGAAUCUAAAAUAUUUUUGCAUUCUGGAAAAUUUAAUAUUUUAACAAACUUUGUCUAUUUUAUGACAGAAUAUCCCGUAGUGGAAAAUGACAUAUUCGGUUUUGGAAUAUUCAUGUUGCAACUUGUCAGCCAAUGUGAGAGUAUGACCAAGAUGAAGGAUAGAAGUGGAAACACAUGUAAUUCCAAGACUGAAUAUGUAAUUCCACUUCUAUCCUUCAUCUUGGUCACACUCUCACAUUGGCUGAUAAGUUGCAACAUGAAUAUUCCAAAACCGAAUAUGUCAUUUUCCACUACGGGAUAUUCUGUCAUAAAAUAGACAAAGUUUGUUAAAAUAUCAAAUUUUUCAGAAUGCAAAAAUGCUUUAGAUUCAGAUCUGUAAUCAUCCUUGAGCUUACGAUUCAUUUGAUACAAAUGGGCAAGGUCAAUGUAUCCAGGGGUACCAAAUUCUUUCUCCCUUGUUGGUGACGCCGCCCCAAAAUCGCACAAAACUGCAUUUAAUUCCUACAUUUAUAUUUUAAUGAAUAAGAUAUUAAAGUUUUGACAUAUCUUAAUAAAGUAAUUACCAAAUCCAAAAGUAUGUUGGAUGGUUUUAAGUCGUUGAAGAUCAAUGGAGGACUGCAGUUGUGCACGUGCUUUAAUCCCAAAGAAACUCCCACCAAGACAUUGACAAUUUGACUCCAAUUUAAUUCUGUUUGAAAGUGUGUGUAUCUAGUGGAAAAGUUACUGCUCAAAUAAAACAGCAAAACAUAUGUACGGUUGAAGUAAUUUGAAACAUUUAUCUCAUAUAACCAAGUUUCAAUCUACUCCCACUUUCAAUCAACCCAAAGAAGCAUAUUCUUCAGUUUCUACAAACAUUCACUAGUUCCCUUCCGUUCUCUGUCCAACAUUUCAGUAACUCAUCUUGAAUUUUAAUCUGCUGCAGCACGAGUAGCAGUGAAUAGAACUGGACACUUCGAUUGUCUUUAAAUCGGGAAACUCUUUCCUCAAUAGAUUUAUGAAACUAACUAUCCACCCUUUUUGAAGUUCUUCCGACACUUUCCUUAUUGCUUCAUUGUUUUUGUAUUUUGCUCAUGCGACUAAACUGUGCUAGAUGAAAACUAAAAAGGUUAUUUAAUUACUUUACUCUUUCUAAGUUUAGAAGGAUGUGAAAGGCUCUUCAUUUUUUCAGAAAACAUGCACUAGACCCCUUUUCCUCCUUACCCAAAUAAUUUACUGACUCAUUUUAAAGUUAUAAGGGUUUGCAAUAUUAGCUGCACUGAAAAGAGCAGGCCAUUUGAGUCACGUAUCAAGAAAAAAUAAAAUAUCUGAAACUAGUAUAUCUAUACCAAAAUAUCUGUAACUAUCUAACUGACUAAUACCAACUAAUUGACAGCUAAGCCACUAACUAAUUCAGCUAUACAAGUAUAUACAUAUAUCUCAAUAAUCUGAAACUGUUCAUUGAGGCCCUAUAAUGUCUCACCUAGACUAGUAAAGCAGUAAUAGAAAACAAGUCACUGAAGCAACAAAAGUCCUGCAAAAGUUGUUGCUCUAAUUCUAUGUUUGCGGAAAGAUGUCUACUUAGGGGUCUGAUAUAUCCGGUGCUAUGUGCUAACAUAGUCUCAUUUGUCACUUAAUUUUCUACUUCCUCUUACACCAGGCUGCUAAAAGAAGAAUAUGUUUAAAUUCAACCUAUAUAGUUAGUGAGUCUCUCUUUCCUUCAAACUUUAUUAGAUUUCUUUCCUUCAAAAUGGUCCAUUAGAUGCAACCAGGUAUGUCCUACCAAAUCAAAAUACGCUCCAGAAGAGCAGAAACAUGAUUUUACCCAAGUUAGCAUUAUUCUACUUUAUAGAGAUGUGAGGCUAGUGUGAUAAGGUUUUGUCUUAGACUGCUAGUCGUUCAUGUUGUGUUCACACUAUUCUAUCAUUUUUUUUUUGUGCCGGACCUUAUCUAUUGAUUAUUGUUAGUACUUUGCAUCUAUUCAUAUGUUUCUGUCAUUAUUUCUAUUAUUUUUUGUUGAUAGUAUUGAUAUAUUGUCUCUCUUUUCGUCUUCUUGAGCCGAGAGUUUACCCGAAACAACCUCUCAACCCCCUCGGGGAAGGGGUAAGGUUUACGUACACAUUACCUUCCUCAGACCCCACUUGUGGAAUUUUACUGGGUUGUUGUUGUAUCUAACUGACCAAUACUAGCUAAGUAAGUGCUAACAAACUAAUUCAGCUGUGCAAAGUAUAAAAAUACAUCUCAAUAAUUCUGAAAGUGUUCAUUGAGGCCCUAUAAUGUCUCACCUAGAUUAGAAAGGCAGUGAUAGGGAACACGGCACCGAAGCAACAAAAGUUGUUGCUUUAGCUCUAUGUUUUGCGGAAAAAUGUCUACUCAGGGGUUUGAAAUAUUCGGUACUAACAUUGUCUCAUUUGUCACUUAAUUUUUAUCUUCUUCCUCUCGUAUGCUCUACACACUAAUUUCUUACUUUCGUUGUUGCACUGCAGAUAACUUUCCUCUAUAAAUCAUAAGGAUACUUGAGAUGUCCAUGAGCUAAAAGCUAUAGUGUGUUAUCAAAAGGAUGCUUACGAUCUGUUUUUUCCGGUAACUUUAUUUCAAUAAUUAAAAUAUGACCUAGAGUGCAGUGAAUAGAUAAUUACACAUAUAUUACUG